RNAcentral lists this long non-coding RNA (1042 nucleotides) under Carassius auratus (goldfish). RNAcentral describes it as "lncRNA (ENSCARG00000063510.1)". Lineage: Eukaryota; Metazoa; Chordata; Actinopteri; Cypriniformes; Cyprinidae. The record is from RNAcentral.
UUUCUACGGAGUAAUUCAAGACAAACAGUUGCAAAGAUUACACUUACAAACCGAUAAAGGCAGUGGAUGCCAGUACCAUGCUGUAUUUAACAAUAUUUUGCAUUAUUUAUGUCCAUGCCAUUUUAACACGUUUGUGUUAACUGAGAGAUUACACUGAAUCUCUGUGCUUCAUAAAAUCAAAUGACUCAUGCAUUACUGUGUACAGUAUUUUAAUUUUAUGUAUGCAUGCAAUACCCAGAUGACCGGUUAUGUUUCAAAACGUGCAGCGUGCAUCCAGAGCACACUGUGUGAGAUACAGUAUCCCACAAUGCAAUGCCUUUGACUUGACCUUGCGAUGUGAUGAACAGAUUUAAAUCUUCACACUUUUUUGACAAAUGUCGCAGGUCAUCCAAUGCAUUUCAUCAUGCAUAAAGAAAAAAAGAAAGAAAACACAUACUGUGCACAUCUUUCAUUCUGUGUUUGCCAAUACUCUCAUAAUAUACUAUUAUUUUAAAAGUAAGCAGUAUAUAGUGCGUAGGAUGCAGUACGCCAGUGUUUCUUUGUAAAGUUUGUAAACAUUAAUUUAAUGUGAUAAAUGGCUCCCUCGUGUGGCUGUACGGCUGUGCUGCAGCUGCGUCUUUGUUCUCGGGUUUCCGAAGCUGUCCGAAUGUUCCCGAAGGUUACCGUGAGUCGUACCAGUUUUUCCGCCCUGUCCGCGUCUCGGAGCCGGGGAUCUUCUUCCGUCCAUGGCCGUGCAUCCAGGCUUUAUUUACCUUCAUCUAACGCGUUCGUUUGGUGUGACGCGAGGCGGAUAGAACGCGUCAGAUCAGCAGGAGCGAAGCGACGCGCGUCUGUUUCUGCGGAGACAUUGUUACUGCGCUGGACUGAACGGGCCGAGCGAGUCCAGACCACAUCAGACCAGACCAGAGCAGAGCACAUCAGUCGUCUGGAGACAUCAGCAGAAGCAGGUUGUUUCUGCUCGUCUGUCUCGAGGUGAGCAGAGGAAGAGAGAGAGUGAGAGACACAGAUCUUUCUCUCUCUCUCUCUUCACCUCUCUGUAAGG